GCGCCGGUGGUUUAGUGAUUAGAGAAUCCACCUCGGAUGCGGGAGGUCGUGGGUUCGAGACAUGAUACUAAAAGCUGCCUUGCUUGGCGCU
This is a non-coding RNA of Potamilus streckersoni, 91 nucleotides long. The record is from the annotation of a GenBank genome assembly. Lineage: Eukaryota; Metazoa; Mollusca; Bivalvia; Unionida; Unionidae.